GCAUUCUCCGGUAAGCAAUUCGAAAUAAGAACUGUAAGAAUACCUAUUGUUUGUAGAUUUCUGUCGAUAUUUUGUUUUUUCUUGCUCAUUCCACAAGUUCUACAGGGACUUUGUUCAUCUUUGUACUAUACGCGCUAUAUGUUUGGGAACAAUUGCUAGAAAACCCAAGGAAUAUGUUUCGAAGUCAAAAAAAAAAAAUGAAGGACAAAAUAGCUGUUGCUUAGUUCUGUAGCGGCACUCGACGGUAAAAUUCAUAACGGUUUCCGUCCAGUAAACCCGCUACGCAAAAACCGUGUUUACCGAUAGAUUAAUUUAUCAUAGAUCCGACAACAUUAGGCGGUUACCGAAGGUCAAUCAAAAUCCGUCGUUUUUGUCGUGAUCAUAUGCCUUCGCUUCGACUACCCGAAAAGUCAAAAUUCGUAAACAAGGUCGAGAGUUCAGCGACCGUUGGGAUCUUUCGAGAACACCCUCGAAAUUAAAAUCCCGACGCCUUUUAUCAACUCCUACGGUUAUAAAUAUAGCGAAUAGGGAAGCGAGGCAACCUUUUGUUAUCGAGUGACACGAGCAGUAACAGCUAAAUUGAUACUUCCCCUGCGCCGAUAUAUUCCUAAUCACGAAUCAAGCCAGCAAGUUGUGUUAUACGGCUAGUGUACACGUAGGGUAUACAUUAAUAAAUUAUAUUGUUAAACAUACUCCAGUGUUUCUAAACUUUCUAUCGCCUGCAUACACCUCAGUUCUGAUGACUUUUAACCCAUUAGAUGCAAUUCCGUAUAACUAGCAUUUGAUUACAGGUCCCCGAUCCUAAUUCAAAAUUUAUUGACAGGGAAAUGAACUGUGGAGGAUGAAACAUGGUACAGUAAAAAACGUAAAACUAAAGAUAAUAAAUGGAAACUAUUUUUCAGAAUGUUGCUCUUGACAACACAUUUCAAUGUCAUUGAAAUCGACGAUCGUUCGCUAUGUAAAUAAUUUCUGCAUAAUCUUCUUCUUUAAGAGAAUUUGUAAGAGUUGAACGAUCGAUUUGUCGUUCCUGAUUAGUCGUUUGAGAUCCUUUACAUUCAUUCAUACCGGGUAAUGAAUAUUUUAAUCGAUUUUAAAUAUUAAUAAGUAACGAACAGAAAUUGAAACGCAAUUCUAUUAUUCUUUAUUUUCGUUUUAUUUUUUAUACUGUGUAUAACUCUGUUAUAGAGUAUUGAGAAAUAAAUGUUGGUUCUAUACAAUAGGAGAAACAUUUAAUAAAUAAGAUACAGUGAAUAUUAUGAAAAUUAUUUUGUAUCACCCACGUUUCAGCUGCUCGAUUACCAUUUUUCCGUUUUUCUUAUUAUUAUCUUAUUAUUUCAUUAUUACCAAUCUAACAUAAUUACUAAAUGUUAUUCAAUAAUUCUAUUUUACAAUCUGUGCGCUAUAACAUUAAUAUCCGUUGAAAAUUUCAGCUGCAUUAAAUUCCUUAACUUUUUAAUAUCAUUGGUAAUUUAUUCCUUAAACUCCAAAUUACUUCUCAAUCUUAUACAAUGAAUAUGUAGUUUGUUGUUUUGUAUCGUAAUAUACGGGUAUUGUUUCAACGACUUUUAUCGAAUAAAUCUAUUUUUAAUUCAACAUCGCAAUCAGAAGUCUUUUCCACUCAGCAGUGCAAU
Long non-coding RNA from Bombus terrestris (buff-tailed bumblebee), 1631 nucleotides. RefSeq lists it as uncharacterized. NCBI's taxonomy places the organism in Eukaryota, Metazoa, Arthropoda, Insecta, Hymenoptera, Apidae. The transcript is spliced from 2 exons. The record is from RefSeq and is a predicted model, not a curated record.